This is a long non-coding RNA of Brassica rapa (field mustard), 5695 nucleotides long. RefSeq lists it as uncharacterized. NCBI's taxonomy places the organism in Eukaryota, Viridiplantae, Streptophyta, Magnoliopsida, Brassicales, Brassicaceae. The record is from RefSeq and is a predicted model, not a curated record.
UAGUCCUCACCAACUGGGACUGUUGGAAUGAAGAAGCAAGAAGCGCAAGCUGAGAAGUGAGUGCAAGAGAAGCCUUGAGAAUGCACAUGGAAGAUCAUGAAAUGUGCAAUGUCCGGGACUGCCUUGAAUCACCCAAAAAGAAGAGAUGUGCAAAAUCUGUGCAAGAGAGUACGAAUCAUGUUGGUGCAAAGAUAGGGAGGGAGUCCCUGGCGCCAAGAAUCUUCUUCAGAAAGUGAUGUGUGCAAAUUGGCGCCUAGACAUCAAGUUUGAAUUCAAAUCAGAUCAGAAGUCACAUGCCAGCUUAAGGACCAAAGAGCUGUUAGGAUAUGUCACUUUCUCUCAUGCUGGACGUGCCAUUCUCUCUCUCCAGCCAGUCUGCCCUUCUGAUUUGCCCAGGAUAAUAUUAUUUAUUCAUUCCCUGAAAUAUUCUUUGUUUAUUGUCUUGUUUGUCUUGUUGUAAAGGCUUUAAAGCCACCCCAUUGUAACCAUUACGAAAUUAAGCUGAAUGGGGGAGUUUCCCCUUUCUUCUUCACCAUUCUCAAGUCUCUUAUACUCUCCCUAAUCUCUGGUUACAAGAAUCUCUCUCAUACUCUCUCAAAUCUCACUUAAUCUCUCUUUUGCUCCAUUGCAGUCUCUUUAAUUCUCACUUACUGUCUUCACUCUGUUCUCUUUCAAUCCGACCACUCUCUGUUCUCAACAACACUCACACACCAUAAUCUGUCUAUUCUUACAUGGUAUCAGAGCACUAGGGAAUAGAUCUUGGUGUUAUAUCUUCUAUUUGAGCAUCAAAACCAUUCCGCUUCAGUAUCUCUCGUUUUUUUCACGCUUCUAUCAAAUAGACAAGACUCACUCAGAUAGCUUUGCUCUUCCGACAAACAGAUCGAGAUAAAAAAAAAAAAAAAAAAAAAAAAUUUAUCAACUCAAGUGCUUGUGACUUCAUCCUUCUCAAAGCAUUGCUGAAGCUCCAGGAGUGACAGCCGACCAGAAGAAGACCGUCCCGAACACACCACCAGCUUCUUUCCUCGCGAAAAAAAAAGGAAAAAGGCAGAAGCUUUAUGUUCUUCAACAACACUAAUCUUCUGUAGAUGCGAUACUCCAAGGUGUUGUGCUGGGACGAGCUCAUAACGGACCAGAAAGAAAAAGGACUUAAUCUGCCUGAAGAUUCAGAGUCGACACCAUUUAUCCAUGAGCCAUUUGCCAACACUACAAGCAUCCUGCUUAACUCGUCAUGUCUCCUUCAAAACCAUCUUCAGAUGCAUUCAAACCUGUCAGCUUUGUGUUCACCCGCUGCCAAGUUUGCGGGGGAGUAUUGAAGCCCACAAGAAAAGCCCAUAUUCUGAUCCAAUUAGAAGUCUUGAUGAAUCAUGUAACUAGGGUUUGCUUAUAUAUAUAUCGUUAGUGUUUGAUGAAUGUAACCAAGGCUGCUAUUGUUGCAGCCACUCUUUCUUCUUAAUGAAAUACAAUCUAAAUAUUUAGAUAUCUUGGUGACAAUCUUUAAGCUUCUUUCUUUCUCAAUUUCAUUGCAUAAUAAAGCUUUAAUAAGCUAUUUUUAUUUCAAUAAAACUCUGUUUUAUAUUUAUCUACAUGGUAUUAUUGAAGCCCACAAGAAAAGCCCAUAUUCUGAUCCAAUUAGAAGUCUUGAUGAAUCAUGUAACUAGGGUUUGCUUAUAUAUAUAUCGUUAGUGUUUGAUGAAUGUAACCAAGGCUGCUAUUGUUGCAGCCACUCUUUCUUCUUAAUGAAAUACAAUCUAAAUAUUUAGAUAUCUUGGUGACAAUCUUUAAGCUUCUUUCUUUCUCAAUUUCAUUGCAUAAUAAAGCUUUAAUAAGCUAUUUUUAUUUCAAUAAAACUCUGUUUUAUAUUUAUUUACAUGGUAUCAGAGCUCCAAGCUCCUGAGAAUCCAUAAAGCUUCCGCAAAUCUGUUACAGUUCAUACUUCUCUUCAAAAAUCUCUGUUUCUGUUCAUCCUUGUAUCCUCUGGUCUAAAGCUUUUCCAGGAGGGAAGAGACUCACCAGAACUCAAGAUAAAGGAGGUCUUUAGUAUCUGAAACUCAAAGCUUCCACAAUUCAAGCAUAGGCUCAUCCUCAUUGUUAUUUCAAAUCAUUGGAGAGUUUCUGUCCAGCCAGCUGUUCAAUCUCUUCAAGAGGAAGAAGACUAAACAUGGCGUGUCCAGAGACUUCCCAAGGUCUAUCAUCCUUUCUCCUGUUCAGCCUGAAGAGAUCUCUUGGAGAAAGAAGGUUUUGGAGCUGUUUGGCAAGCAAUGCUCCAAACCAAGUCUGUACAAGUGAUUUUCAAGUUCUUCCCAAAAUGGAGUCUCUCACUGUGUGCCAGAAGGUGGCGCCUGGUAAUCAGGAAGAAAGGAGGGGUCUUAAGCAUGAGUGGUCUAAAGGGAAAGCACACACAAGGAAAUGGCGUGGGGUAGAGAUCCCAAACUCCAAAUCUGUCAAGUUCAAGUGAACAGUGUGCCUUGGAGGUUCAAGGAACCAGCUCAGGUUCCUUGUUUGUAAGUUAACCUCCUACCUUUAAUAAGAGCUUGAGUAGUUAUGUCUGGUUGUGUUGAGUGGUGUGUUUGGUAUCCUUGGGACAGGUUCAAGUUGCUAGAGUUGUUGAACCUAGUUUCUGUCCCAUGAUACUUAAAUUGUGUGUGUUGCUCUGUUUCUUAAAUUAUUUCUAGGAGUUGUCUAGCAUGGUAUUGUUUAGUUCCUGUCCUAGAUUAAUUGUUUCUGUUUGUAUUGUGCUAGGCGAUUGGUUAGCUACUGUCAUUGUCUUGUUGCAUUGAUAAAGGUCUAGGAGAGCCUCCUGAUCUUGUAUUGCAUUAUAUAUAUUGUUCAAGAUGAUUAGAUGAGUUGUUUAGUCUCUGUUUAUUGUCUUUAAAAUUCAUAAAAAGAGCCUAAUUGCCUUGUUAUUGAUGAGUUAUCAUACCUGAGCAGUUAGUGAUGUUAGUAUGCAUGGAGUUGAACUGAAUGAGUUGUUUAGAUUCUGUUCAUUGCAUAUUUAUUUUUAAAACAUUGGGAUCAGACUUGGUGAAUUAUCAAGGGCUGAUCCUAGUGUGUGUGGUCUGAUUCUUGCUGGAGUUUGAGUGAUGUUUCAGGUACACAAGAGGUGAUCUCUGUCCAUCAUCAAACUAAGACAAAGAAGAAGGCAUUGCCCACGUUUUACAGAGCCUCCCAAGAUGGAUAUUCCUGAACCGUGGAGAUUGCCCAGUCCCAAAUCCUAUCUAUGUGUCUGCCCAUUUCCUACCCUGAAGAUAGAAAGGAUGUUGGAGAAUUGGAGAAACUGCUCAGAAGUGACUUACCUGAUGCCAAGAGGAUGUACAGGAGGUGCACUCAAGAGAAAAGGCCAUCACUAAGCCAAGAGUGGCCGGUGGUCAGAGGCAUGGAUCAAGGUGUUUAGUCCUGACCAUGUAAAGAUACCUUGUGAGUAGAACCAGUUGGCUUAAGCGCAGGCGUAGGAGCUGUUGUGCUCCUGGUUCAAGAGACUCAUAAGGAAGGUCAUCACCUAAGUCAUGGGGAGACUGGUGGCCUAAAGACAUUAGAGCUGAAGGAAAAUGGUGAUCCAGUUGGCUUAAGCGCAGAUGUUGGUAUUGUUGUGCUCCUGGAAGAUAGUGAACUGGUUGGCUUAAGCGCAGAUGUUGGUAUUGUUGUGCUCCCAGUUUCAAAACUCAUUGAAGCUCACAUUCAAGCUUGUCCCUAUACUCAGCCAAGCUUGAGGAGGGGAAUCAGUGAGCUACCAGAAGAUCCAUGAAGCUCCUAAGUGUCUCUUUUCCUCAUAGAAGGCCAGCAACAUCUAUGUGUCAAAAUAGAUGAUCAAGAAGAAGAGGUUGCAUGGCGAUUUAAUAAGGAGGGGCCUAAGUGAUCAGUCUGAAGAAGCUGGCACACCCCACCACUCUGACCAGCUAUAUUCAAGGACUCAAGGAGUAUUCAAUCAGGGAAAUUCUUGGCUAAGCAAUCACAUGAUGGUGGCAAAUUAUGGAGUUGAAAAGUGCUGAGCUUCCCUACAUGCUGAAACUUCAAGAGAAAAAUGCAAAGGCUGGUUGAGAGAAGGAAUGGCGUGGAGGAUUCAAGUGCUUAGCAAUCCUCACCAACAUUCAACAAACUGAUGCAAGGGAAGUACCUAAAACCAUUAUUAUUCUUAUGUGUGAAUAGGUUUGCCCCUUGAGAAUUGAUACAUGCAAUUUUUGGAUGAUUGAAUCAGGUACCUAUUGAGCUCAUGAACAAAGAAAAGCUUUGUCUCAACCCUUAAAUGGAGGCAAGAAGCCAAAAGAAAGGGGGAGACAAGCUCAGGUCAUAAGAAGAAGCUCAAAGGUGAUUUGACAGUGAAGCAACUGGCGCCAAUCCAAGUCGUUCAUUGCCUCACCUCUGAUCAAAAUUGGAGUUUGCAAGUGGUGGAUUCACUCUUGCAUUACUCAGUACCAACCGGGUCAAAGAAGCUCAGUUCCAAGUGUGUGAUUGAACUUCCAUAAUCCGGACUGUGUCUUACCAAGUGUGGAUUCAAUUGGAGUCCACUCCUGGCCAUUCUUAUAAAAGGGAAGCACCUUAAACUCAUCUCAAUACAUUCAUGAUUGUCCUUAUACUUAAACUAUUAUUGAGUUUGAUGUGAUGAGUGCAUUUCCUUAAGAACUGAUGCACUUUUGAAAUGAUGCAUCAGGUACCAAAAUAAGCUUGAGCCUCACUGAAGAUGAUGAUGAUGAUCCGGUCAUGUCCUAGCAUUUCUAAGAUGGCCAAAGAAGUCAGUCGAGAGGGGGAGAUCCUAACCGAGUCUAUGGUUCCAUGAAGAGGUCAAGCCAAGUUCUAAAGAACAAGUAACUUUGCUGGGGGUUCAGAGAAGAUGGUCUGGUCGUUUCCUUGCCUUCCUAAGGUGGCUUGAAGCCAGUUGAGAGGGGGAGACCCUAAACCGGACACAAAAUGAUCCAGCCGGCUACUUGUGCUCAAGGAUAGCAAGUUAUGGUGAUUCAUACUUGCUAUACCUAUUAGGCCACGAUCCAGAGCCUAAGGACUCCACCAUGAUGAAUCUGAAGUUCCUUAGGCUCACUGGCCAAUCCCUAAGCUUUGUGGAAACUCCACUCUUUUUCCCUUAGCAAGUUUUGUCCCAAUGGGUUUUCUUGCUAAGGUUUUUAAUGAGGGAGCUUCUUCAAGGUUCCAAGCUUGUCCAAGGAUCUCAUAUGGUCAAGCUUGAGGGGGAGUGUUGGAAUGAAGAAGCAAGAAGCGCAAGCUGAGAAGUGAGUGCAAGAGAAGCCUUGAGAAUGCACAUGGAAGAUCAUGAAAUGUGCAAUGUCCGGGACUGCCUUGAAUCACCCAAAAAGAAGAGAUGUGCAAAAUCUGUGCAAGAGAGUACGAAUCAUGUUGGUGCAAAGAUAGGGAGGGAGUCCCUGGCGCCAAGAAUCUUCUUCAGAAAGUGAUGUGUGCAAAUUGGCGCCUAGACAUCAAGUUUGAAUUCAAAUCAGAUCAGAAGUCACAUGCCAGCUUAAGGACCAAAGAGCUGUUAGGAUAUGUCACUUUCUCUCAUGCUGGACGUGCCAUUCUCUCUCUCCAGCCAGUCUGCCCUUCUGAUUUGCCCAGGAUAAUAUUAUUUAUUCAUUCCCUGAAAUAUUCUUUGUUUAUUGUCUUGUUUGUCUUGUUGUAAAGGCUUUAAAGCCACCCCAUUGUAACCAUUACGAAAUUAAGCUGAAUGGGGGAGUUUCCCCUUUCUUCUUCACCA